Molecule: long non-coding RNA, 320 nt
Organism: Melospiza melodia melodia
Lineage: Eukaryota; Metazoa; Chordata; Aves; Passeriformes; Passerellidae
Exons: 3
Source: RefSeq, a predicted model, not a curated record
CUGGGAUGCUCCAGAGUCGGAAUUGAAAAUGGACAAGGACACUGCCACUGCCUGCUCACGUUUUCCCAGCAAUCCCAAACUGAAGAGAAGUUUUUUUUUUUUUCCCUUUCCUAGGAGGAUUUUCUUACAUGGGAUACGAGGCGAGUGAUUCCAGGCAAUUCUGGGCCACAGUGCCAGGAGGGAUUUGGGCUUGGAGCAGACCUGGAGGAUGUUGUGCUCCCCUUUGGAUGGCCACAAAACCCCGGCAGAUCACAGGCAAAGGGAACUAACUCAUUCUGAAACCUCUGGAGCUGCUGUGUGAAAUGGGAUCAUCUCCUGCA